RNAcentral lists this ribosomal RNA (253 nucleotides) under uncultured bacterium. Its description in RNAcentral is "partial 16S ribosomal RNA". It matches the Rfam family "Bacterial small subunit ribosomal RNA", at positions 524 to 776 of the family's 1533-position model. The record is from RNAcentral.
UACGUAGGGGGCAAGCGUUGUCCGGAAUCAUUGGGCGUAAAGAGCGUGUAGGCGGCUCGGUAAGUCCGCUCUGAAAGCCCGGGGCUCAACCCCGGGAGGCGGGCGGAUACUGUCGAGCUAGAGUCCGGAAGAGGCGAGUGGAAUUCCUGGUGUAGCGGUGAAAUGCGCAGAUAUCAGGAGGAACACCAAUGGCGAAGGCAGCUCGCUGGGACGGUACUGACGCUGAGACGCGAAAGCGUGGGGAGCCAACAGG